This 253-nucleotide ribosomal RNA is filed under the name uncultured bacterium. RNAcentral describes it as "partial 16S ribosomal RNA". It matches the Rfam family "Bacterial small subunit ribosomal RNA", at positions 524 to 776 of the family's 1533-position model. The record is from RNAcentral.
UACGGAGGGGGCUAGCGUUGUUCGGAUUUACUGGGCGUAAAGGGCGCGUAGGCGGCGUGACAAGUCACUUGUGAAAUCUCCGGGCUUAACUCGGAACGGUCAAGUGAAACUGUCGUGCUAGAGUACAGAAGGGGCAACUGGAAUUCUCGGUGUAGCGGUGAAAUGCGUAGAUAUCGAGAGGAACACCUGCGGCGAAGGCGGGUUGCUGGGCUGAUACUGACGCUGAUGCGCGAAAGCCAGGGGAGCGAACGGG